Long non-coding RNA from Ahaetulla prasina, 1477 nucleotides. RefSeq lists it as uncharacterized. The transcript has 3 exons. The record is from RefSeq and is a predicted model, not a curated record. NCBI's taxonomy places the organism in Eukaryota, Metazoa, Chordata, Lepidosauria, Squamata, Colubridae.
AGCAGAGAUGGCUACUACUAUGAAGAAUGAAAGACCAGUGAGAAGAGUUCUACAAACCGUUCCAGAGAAGGCGACAAUGGAAGAUUGCCCAUGGGUGCUGUGAAUGGCAGCUGCUCACAAGAAGACUAAAACAGUGGACUCCCACAGGGGCCUCUGGUGGCUCAACAGAUUAAGCAGUCUGUUAUUAACACAGAUGCUUGCAAUUACUGCAAGUUCAAGCCCCACCAGGCCCAAGGUUGACUCAGCCUUCCAUCCUUUAUAAGGAGACCGUCAUCAUCAAAUAUGCUGCCAGGGCUGUGGAGAUGCCAAGUAGGAAAAAAUAUAUAGUUAUUAUGGAAGCUGCAACACAUUUUGACAUAAUUCCUAUCAUUUCUGGGACUUGCAAAACUAUGUGCACAAUGUCAGUGAUUUUAUUCCCUUUUCCUUAAGCAGUAAAUAUAAAAAUACGUUAAAUAGGGCUUUCAGAGAAGUACAUUGCAGUCCAGAUGACCCACGACCAAGACUGAGUAGAUGUCUUGUAUUUCUGUUUGCUGGGAGCAGCAUGGUGAGAACAAGCUUUACAGUGAGCUAGCCAGGCAAGUAGAUUCCUGCUUCCUAGUCCUGUAAAUUGGUACCUGUACUGUAGCUUCCAAACAAUUUCCCCAUCAUGUGUUUUUAUAAUUCAAUCUGGAAGCUACAUGGAUAAAAGUGCUAGUCACAUUCAACUGUCAUGCAAAGCCAGGAAAGGAGACACACCUGGUCCCCAAUAUUAUCUGAAAAGUAGCAGAGCAGGUAAUGUCGUAAUGCCAUGUGUAGUAAUAAGUUGCAAAAUACACAGGAAUAAACCCUUUCGACAUUGCUGUACAACUGGAUGUGCAAUUGAUAUAAAUAAUGAUCAGAAAGUCUCAAGCAAAUCAAGUAUCAUCAGUGAGUGAGUUAUAAAGGCCUGGGGGAAAAGUCCCCAAAGGUCCCCUUGACAUUUGAGGGACAUUUACCCCAGGGGUGAAGUCCAGCAGGUUCUGACAGGUUCUGGAGAACCGGUAGCGGAAAUUUCGAGUAAUUGAGAGAAAUGGCAAAUACCACCUCUGGCUGGCCCCAGAUUGGGGAGGGAAUGGGGAUUUUGCAGUAUCCUCCCCCUGGAGUGGGGUGAGAAUGGAGAUUUUGCAGUAUCCUUCCCCUGCCACGCCCACCAAGCCAACCACGCCCACCAAGCCACACCCACAGAUCCGGUAGUAAACAGAAUUGGAUUUCACCACUGAUUUACCCCCCUUAACAUGGAAGGGCAGUUGGGGAACAAUUACCAAAGACAAUUUUAAGAGUACAAAUAAGUACACAUAGAGAGGGAUAGUUCUCCAGAAACUGUUUUUCCUGAGUUAUGAAAUGUAAUAUGAUUGAAUGUCAAACUAUGAUCAGAAAUAAACUGAGAGCCAAUAAAAUGUGUGAAUCUAGUGUAAUACGUUUACAUAAUACCUUGUUUCAUUCAGUUAACUUUUGCUGC